RNAcentral lists this unclassified non-coding RNA (259 nucleotides) under uncultured fungus. RNAcentral describes it as "sequence contains ITS1". Lineage: Eukaryota; Fungi. The record is from RNAcentral.
AGUAUGAGAUGUGUUACAUCCAUUACAUUCGUUUUAAAAUAAAUUGAGUUUAUAUUAAUUGAGUAGACAGAGGGUCCAAUAACCUAUUGCCUUUGUAUUCCAAAAAGCAACAAGUAAAUUCCCCAUCUGUCUCACAGGUUCACAGGUGUGUGUGGGAUGAAAGAGAAAGGUGUGCACAUGCCCAAAUGAAUGGGCCAGCUACAACCAAACUCUUCAUUAAAAUUCAAUAAUGAUCCUUCCGCAGGUUCACCUACGGAAA